GGGACCUACGGGAGGCAGCAGUGGGGAAUAUUGGGCAAUGGGCGCAAGCCUGACCCAGCAACGCCGCGUGAAGGAAGAAGGCUUUCGGGUUGUAAACUUCUUUUAAGAGGGAAGAGCAGAAGACGGUACCUCUUGAAUAAGCCACGGCUAACUACGUGCCAGCAGCCGCGGUAAUACGUAGGAGGCAAGCGUUGUCCGGAUUUACUGGGUGUAAAGGGCGGGCAGCCGGGAAGACAAGUCAGAUGUGAAAUCCCGCGGCUCAACCGCGGAAAUGCAUUUGAAACUGUUUGGCUUGAGAACCGGAG
Molecule: ribosomal RNA, 305 nt
Filed under: uncultured bacterium
Lineage: Bacteria
Description: bacterial SSU rRNA
Rfam family: Bacterial small subunit ribosomal RNA
Source: RNAcentral